GACUGACUGGCUCGAUACUGACACUGAGGUGCGAAAGCGUGGGAGCAAACGGGAUUAGAUACCCCGGUAGUCCACGCCGUAAACGAUGUCUACUAGCCGUUGGAGGACUUGAUCCUUUAGUGGCGCAGCUAACGCGAUAAGUAGACCGCCUGGGGAGUACGGUCGCAAGAUUAAAACUCAAAUGAAUUGACGGGGGCCCGCACAAGCGGUGGAGCAUGUGGUUUAAUUCGAAGCAACGCGAAGAACCUUACCUACUCUUGACAUCCAGUGAACUUUUGAGAGAUCAAUUGGUGCCUUCGGGAACACUGAGACAGGUGCUGCAUGGCUGUCGUCAGCUCGUGUUGUGAAAUGUUGGGUUAAGUCCCGUAACGAGCGCAACCCUUGUCCUUAGUUACCAUCAUUAAGUUGGGGACUCUAAGGAGACUGCCGGUGACAAACCGGAGGAAGGCGGGGACGACGUCAAGUCAUCAUGGCCCUUACGAGUAGGGCUACACACGUGCUACAAUGGCAUGUACAAAGGGUUGCCAAGCCGCGAGGUGGAGCUAAUCCCAUAAAGCAUGUCGUAGUCCGGAUUGGAGUCUGCAACUCGACUCCAUGAAGUCGGAAUCGCUAGUAAUCGUGAAUCAGAAUGUCACGGUGAAUACGUUCCCGGGCCUUGUACACACCGCCCGUCACACCAUGGGAGUGGGUUGCUCCAGAAGUAGAUAGCUUAACCUUCGGGAGGGCGUUUACCACGGAGUGAUUCAUGACUGGGGUGAAGUCGUAACAAGGUAACCGUA
RNAcentral lists this ribosomal RNA (779 nucleotides) under uncultured bacterium. RNAcentral describes it as "bacterial SSU rRNA". It matches the Rfam family "Bacterial small subunit ribosomal RNA", at positions 723 to 1504 of the family's 1533-position model. The record is from RNAcentral.